AGCAGCCGCGGUAAUUCCAGCUCCAAUAGCGUAUAUUAAAGUUGUUGCAGUUAAAAAGCUCGUAGUUGAAUUUCGGGGUCAGUAGGCUGGUCGUGCCACGGGUAUGUACUGGUCUUACUGAUUCCUCCUUCCUGAUGAACCGUAAUGCCAUUAAUUUGGUGUUGCGGGGAAUCUGGACUGUUACUUUGAAAAAAUUAGAGUGUUUAAAGCAGGCUAACGCUUGAAUACAUUAGCAUGGAAUAAUGAAAUAGGACGAUCGAUCCUAUUUUGUUGGUUUCUAGGAUUGACGUAAUGAUUAAUAGGGAUAGUUGGGGGCAUUAGUAUUCAAUUGUCAGAGGUGAAAUUCUUGGAUUUAUUGAAGACUAACUACUGCGAAAGCAUUUGCCAAGGAUGUUUUUCAUUAAUCAAGACGAAAAGUUAGGGGGAUCGAAGACGAUCAGAUACCGUCGUAGUCUUAACCAUAAACUAUGCCGACUAGGGAUCGGAUGAUGUUAAUUUUUUUAAUGACUCAUUCGGC
Molecule: ribosomal RNA, 517 nt
Filed under: uncultured Glomus
Lineage: Eukaryota; Fungi; Glomeromycota; Glomeromycetes; Glomerales; Glomeraceae
Description: SSU rRNA
Rfam family: Eukaryotic small subunit ribosomal RNA
Source: RNAcentral